AGGAGAAGAUGAAACGGACGGUGC
Molecule: non-coding RNA, 24 nt
Filed under: Arabidopsis thaliana (thale cress)
Lineage: Eukaryota; Viridiplantae; Streptophyta; Magnoliopsida; Brassicales; Brassicaceae
Source: RNAcentral